Non-coding RNA from Loxodonta africana (African savanna elephant), 615 nucleotides. NCBI's taxonomy places the organism in Eukaryota, Metazoa, Chordata, Mammalia, Proboscidea, Elephantidae. The record is from the annotation of a RefSeq genome assembly.
UCUCCUCAGACUCACGUUGUUUUGAAAUCAGCACUUGUUUGAUUCAAAGGAAAUAUGGAGCUUGUCUCUGAUUGGCUAGGUAAGAAACCUGAGACUCUCUCUGGGAGGACAGAAGGACUAGAGAAGGGGCAGUUUUGACUGAGAAACUUUGCUGCAUUUCAGACCCCAGACCUGCAUCUUCUUUGAGCCCAAGAAGGAGGAAGAAUGAAGAAACUUCUUGUAGUGUCUUUGGUUAUUCUAUGGCUUCAAAUGACCAGGGUGAACAGCCAAGUAGAACAGGAUCCUGAAGCUCUGCACAUCCAGGAGGGUGAAAACGUCACCAUGAACUGCAGCUAUAAAACUUCUAUAGACAACUUACAGUGGUAUAGACAAGAUUCAGGUAGAGGCCUUGUCCUGCAAAUUUUAAUACGCUCAAAUGAGAAAGAGAAACCUAAUGGAAGACUAAGAGCCACGCUAGAUACCUCCACCAAGAGCAGUUUCCUGUUCAUCACCGCUUCCCAGGCUGCAGACACUGCUACUUACUUCUGUGCUCUGUAUACACAGUGUUUACCAGGCACCUGCAGCCUUUACACAAACCUGCCUGAGCUGCUGCUCAGACCCCCUAAUACCGGGUAG